UGCAAGUCGAACGCACCAGCAAUGGUGAGUGGCGAAAGGGUCAGUAACGCGAUCGAACGUACCCCGAGGUGGAGGAUAGCGUUGGGAAACUGACGGUAAUACUCCAUGUGAUCCACGGAUCAAAGGUUUACCGCCUUGGGAGCGGCGAUCGUCCUAUCAGGUUGUUGGCGGGGUAAUGGCCCACCAAGCCGAAGACGGGUAGCGGGUGUGAGAGCACGGCCCGCGACAUCGGAACUGAGACACUGUCCGGACUCCUACGGGAGGCUGCAGUAGCGAAUCUUCCGCAAUGGGCGCAAGCCUGACGGAGCAAUGCCGCGUGCGGGAUGAAGUGCCUUUGGUAUGUAAACCGCUGUCAGGGGACGGAACCAAUGAUUGUCCCCAGAGGAAGUGGCGACUAACUCCGUGCCAGCAGUCGCGGUAAUACAGAGGCCACGAGCGUUAGUCGGAAUCACUGGGCUUAAAGGGUGCGUAGGCGGAUCGGCAAGCGUCUUGUGAAAGCCCCCGGCUCAACCGGGGAACUGCAGGGCGAACUGCCGAUCUUGAGGCAGGUAGGGGGUGGGAAGAACAGUCGGUGGAGCGGUGAAAUGCGUAGAUAUCGACUGGAAUGCCGAUGGUGAAGAC
Molecule: ribosomal RNA, 621 nt
Filed under: uncultured bacterium
Lineage: Bacteria
Description: bacterial SSU rRNA
Rfam family: Bacterial small subunit ribosomal RNA
Source: RNAcentral